This 67-nucleotide transfer RNA is filed under the name Eubranchipus grubii. RNAcentral's name for it is "tRNA-Gln". Lineage: Eukaryota; Metazoa; Arthropoda; Branchiopoda; Anostraca; Chirocephalidae. The record is from RNAcentral.
UAUAUUUUAGUGUAUAGUGCACUUAAGGUUUUGAUUCUUAGAGUAGAGUAUUUAUCUCUAAAUAUAA